UCACCGAAAUUGGAUUUUCAACGACUGGUGACACAAAAUUAACGAGCCAUUAGUAGGGCAAAAAAAAGGCAAAAAAAGAAUUAAAGAUGAUGAGAUA
Molecule: non-coding RNA, 97 nt
Organism: Caenorhabditis elegans
Lineage: Eukaryota; Metazoa; Nematoda; Chromadorea; Rhabditida; Rhabditidae
Source: Ensembl